GGGGAUGUUUUGGUUUUGACAGCAUCUGACAUUGGAUGGUAAGCACGCCGGGCGUCGGUGGUUAGCCCGUUAAUCUCAGCCUCCAAACAAUUAGUUGGCAACAACAAUUAUGCACUCGCUGCCUAAUUUACCAAGUAAAUUAGCUUAAUCCCUGCCGCCAAGGCUGCGGCAGCGACGAGUAUCCCUCCGUUCUUUAGGCCGGUUAUGAAAGGAAACAGGGGUAUCAUCCAAACCGGAUGCGGUGGCAGACUCCUCUAAAGCCACUCAAGUCUCAGAGGAUAAGUCCACGGUGGCCCGUCUUCCGGCAGCCAUGGACCGACAACCAAAGGCAGACUAAGCGUGUAGAAAGCU
RNAcentral lists this transfer-messenger RNA (351 nucleotides) under pig gut metagenome. It matches the Rfam family "transfer-messenger RNA", at positions 1 to 325 of the family's 374-position model. Rfam says of the family: Bacterial tmRNA, also known as 10Sa RNA or SsrA, is named for its dual tRNA and mRNA-like properties. Its role is to liberate the mRNA from a stalled ribosome. To accomplish this part of the tmRNA is used as a reading frame that ends in a translation stop signal. The record is from RNAcentral.